GCCUCGAUAGCUCAAUUGGUAGAGCGUUGGCACAGUAAGCCGAAGGUUCGAGGUUCGAAUCCCGGUCGAGGCU
This 73-nucleotide transfer RNA is filed under the name Mercenaria mercenaria. Its description in RNAcentral is "transfer RNA threonine (anticodon AGU)". It matches the Rfam family "tRNA". From Rfam's summary of the family: Transfer RNA (tRNA) molecules are approximately 80 nucleotides in length. The record is from RNAcentral. Lineage: Eukaryota; Metazoa; Mollusca; Bivalvia; Venerida; Veneridae.